Molecule: ribosomal RNA, 406 nt
Filed under: uncultured bacterium
Lineage: Bacteria
Description: partial 16S ribosomal RNA
Rfam family: Bacterial small subunit ribosomal RNA
Source: RNAcentral
AUUGAACGCUGGCGGCAGGCCUAACACCUGCAAGUCGAACGAGUGGCGGACGGGUGAGUAAUGUCUGGGAAACUGCCUGAUGGAGGUGGAUAACUACUGGAAACGGUCGCUAAUACCGCAUACCAUCGGAUGUGCCCCGAUGGGAUUAGCUAGUAGGUGGGGUAAAGGCUCACCUAGGCGACGAUCCCUAGCUGGUCGGAGAGGAUGACCAGCCACACGGGAACUGAGACACGGUCCAGACUCCUACGGGAGGCAGCAGUGGGGAAUAUUGCACAAUGGGCGCAAGCCUGAUGCAGCCAUGCCGCGUGUAUGAAGAAGGCCUGCGGGUUGUAAAGUACUUUCAGCGGGGAGGCGUUACCCGCAGAAGAAGCACCGGCUAACUCCGGGCCAGCAGCCGCGGUAAUUC